UACAGAGGGUGCAAGCGUUGUUCGGAAUUAUUGGGCGUAAAGAGCGUGUAGGCGGCCUGACAGGUCUGCUGUGAAAACUCGAGGCUCAACCUCGAGAUGUCGGCGGAAACCGUCUGGCUAGAGUCCGGAAGAGGAGAGUGGAAUUCCUGGUGUAGCGGUGAAAUGCGCAGAUAUCAGGAGGAACACCGGUGGCGAAGGCGGGUCUCUGGGCCGAUACUGACGCUGAGGAGCGAAAGCGUGGGGGAGCGAACAGG
RNAcentral lists this ribosomal RNA (254 nucleotides) under uncultured bacterium. Its description in RNAcentral is "partial 16S ribosomal RNA". It matches the Rfam family "Bacterial small subunit ribosomal RNA", at positions 524 to 776 of the family's 1533-position model. The record is from RNAcentral.